AGCGCUUGUGACCAGACUUGCGUCCGGUGAAUCACCCAGCUCUCGCGGCUGGGGCACUUCGCCGGCUCAGGCCAGCAUCAGCUCGCUGUCGGGGACAAAAGCUUCAGGAACGUAGCUCUCUUCGGGGAGUGUUAUAGCCUGUUGCAUAAUACCCUUCGGCGGGCUGAGGUACGCGCUCCGCAAGGAUGCUGGCAUAAUGGUCAUCAGCGACCCGUCUUGAAACACGGACCA
This 231-nucleotide ribosomal RNA is filed under the name Colletotrichum caricae. RNAcentral's name for it is "partial 28S large subunit ribosomal RNA". Lineage: Eukaryota; Fungi; Ascomycota; Sordariomycetes; Glomerellales; Glomerellaceae. The record is from RNAcentral.